Molecule: ribosomal RNA, 500 nt
Filed under: uncultured bacterium
Lineage: Bacteria
Description: partial 16S ribosomal RNA
Rfam family: Bacterial small subunit ribosomal RNA
Source: RNAcentral
AUUGAACGCUGGCGGAAUGCUUUACACAUGCAAGUCGAACGGCAGCACGGACUUCGGUCUGGUGGCGAGUGGCGAACGGGUGAGUAAUGUAUCGGAACGUGCCCAGUCGUGGGGGAUAACGUAGUGAAAAUUACGCUAAUACCGCAUACGAUCUAUGGACGAAAGCGGGGGUUCGGAAGACCUCGCGCGAUUCGAGGGGCCGAUCUCCGAUUAGGUAGUUGGUGGGGUAAAGGCCCACCAAGCCAACGAUCGUUAGCUGGUCUGGGAGGAGGACAGGCCACACUGGAACUGAGACACGGUCCAGACUCCUACGGGAGGCGGCAGUGGGGAAUUUUGGACAAUGGGCGAAAGCCUGAUCCAGCCAUUCCGCGUGCAGGAUGAAGGCCCUCGGGUUGUAAACUGCUUUUGUACAGAACGAAAAGGUUUCUACUAAUACUAGGAGCUCAUGACGGUACUGUAAGAAUAAGCACCGGCUAACUACGUGCCAGCCGCCGCCGUAA